This 73-nucleotide transfer RNA is filed under the name Parabacteroides goldsteinii. RNAcentral describes it as "tRNA-Lys". It matches the Rfam family "tRNA". From Rfam's summary of the family: Transfer RNA (tRNA) molecules are approximately 80 nucleotides in length. RNAcentral also lists the same sequence under 4 other names. The record is from RNAcentral. Lineage: Bacteria; Pseudomonadati; Bacteroidota; Bacteroidia; Bacteroidales; Tannerellaceae.
GACUCGGUAGCUCAGCUGGUAGAGCAAAUGACUCUUAAUCAUUGGGUCGAGGGUUCGAGCCCCUCCCGGGUCA